Molecule: transfer RNA, 71 nt
Filed under: Planctomycetaceae bacterium SCGC AG-212-F19
Lineage: Bacteria; Pseudomonadati; Planctomycetota; Planctomycetia; Planctomycetales; Planctomycetaceae
Rfam family: tRNA
About the family: Transfer RNA (tRNA) molecules are approximately 80 nucleotides in length. Their secondary structure includes four short double-helical elements and three loops (D, anti-codon, and T loops).
Source: Rfam by way of RNAcentral
UCGGGGAUCGGCUAGUGGUAGGCUGCCUGGCUUUGAACCAGGCGACGAAGGUUCGAACCCUUCUCCCCGAA